GCGUGGAGGAUGACGGCCCUUGGGUUGUAAACUCCUUUUUUCAGGGAAGAGAAUGGACGGUACCUGAAGAAUAAGUCACGGCUAACUACGUGCCAGCAGCCGCGGUAAUACGUAGGUGGCGAGCGUUAUCCGGAAUUACUGGGCGUAAAGCGCACGCAGGCGGCUUUCUAAGUUUGACGUGAAAGCUCCCGGCUUAACUGGGAGAGGUCGUUGAAUACUGGAAGGCUUGAGGCAAUGAGAGGGGUGCAGAAUUCCCGGUGUAGUGGUGGAAUGCGUAGAUAUCGGGGGGAAUACCAGUGGCGAAAGCGGCACCCUAGCGUUGUACUGACGCUCAUGUGCGAAAGCGUGGGGAGCGAACGGGAUUAGAUACCCCGGUAGUCCACGCUGUAAACGAUGAACACUAGGUGUAGGUGAUGUGAAAGUUAUCUGUACCGAAGCCAACGCGUUAAGUGUUCCGCCCGGGGACUACGGCCGCAAGGUUAAAACUCAAAGGAAUUGACGGGUGCCCGCACAAGCAGCGGAGCGUGUGGUUUAAUUCGAUGCUACACGAAGAACCUUACCUGGGUUUGACAUAUACGUGGUAGAGAACGGAAACGGGAUCGACCCUUCGGGGAGCGUAUACAGGUGCUGCAUGGCUGUCGUCAGCUCGUGUCGUGAGAUGUCCGGUUAAGUCCGGUAACGAGCGCAACCCCUGCUGUAUGUUACAUGUGUCAUACGGGACUGCCGGUAUCAAGCCGGAGGAAGGUGGGGAUGACGUCAAGUCAGCAUGGCCUUUAUAUCCAGGGCUACACACACGCUACAAUGGUCGGUACAACGGGUUGCAAGACCGCAAGGUGGAGCCAAUCCUCAAAAUCGGCCUCAGUUCAGAUUGCAGGCUGCAACUCGCCUGCAUGAAGUCGGAGUUGCUAGUAACCGCGCGUCAGCAUUAGUGCGGUGAAUACGUUCCCGGGCGUUGUACACACCGCCCGUCACGUCAUGGAAGCUGAUAACACCUGAAGUCGGUAUCCUAACCGCAAGGAGGGAGCCGCCCAAGGUGGGAUUGGUAACUGGGACG
RNAcentral lists this ribosomal RNA (1054 nucleotides) under uncultured bacterium. Its description in RNAcentral is "bacterial SSU rRNA". It matches the Rfam family "Bacterial small subunit ribosomal RNA", at positions 399 to 1482 of the family's 1533-position model. The record is from RNAcentral.